AGUGAACGCUGGCGGUAGGCCUAACACAUGCAAGUCGAACGGCAGCACAGUAAGAGCUUGCUCUUACGGGUGGCGAGUGGCGGACGGGUGAGGAAUACAUCGGAAUCUACUUUUUCGUGGGGGAUAACGUAGGGAAACUUACGCUAAUACCGCAUACGACCUACGGGUGAAAGCAGGGGAUCUUCGGACCUUGCGCGAUUGAAUGAGCCGAUGUCGGAUUAGCUAGUUGGCGGGGUAAAGGCCCACCAAGGCGACGAUCCGUAGCUGGUCUGAGAGGAUGAUCAGCCACACUGGAGCUGAGACACGGUCCAGACUCCUACGGGAGGCAGCAGUGGGGAAUAUUGGGCGAUGGGCGCAAGCCUGAUCCAGCCAUACCGCGUGGGUGAAGAAGGCCUUCGGGUUGUAAAGCCCUUUUGUUGGGAAAGAAAAGCAGCAGGUUAAUACCCCGCUGUUCUGACGGUACCCAAAGAAUAAGCACCGGCUAACUUCGUG
Molecule: ribosomal RNA, 492 nt
Filed under: uncultured bacterium
Lineage: Bacteria
Description: partial 16S ribosomal RNA
Rfam family: Bacterial small subunit ribosomal RNA
Source: RNAcentral